Molecule: unclassified non-coding RNA, 388 nt
Filed under: soil metagenome
Description: partial contains 5.8S ribosomal RNA, internal transcribed spacer 2, and large subunit ribosomal RNA
Rfam family: 5.8S ribosomal RNA (bases 1-121)
Source: RNAcentral
GAUGAAGAACGUAGCGAAAUGCGAUAAGUAAUGUGAAUUGCAGAAUUUCCGUGAGUCAUCGAAUCUUUGAACGCACAUUGCGCCCAUUAGUAUUCUAGUGGGCAUGCCUGUUCGAGCGUCAUUAAUUCCACUUAAGCCCUGCUUAGUGUUGGGAAUCUACUCUAGUGGUGCUACCCUGGAGCUACCCCUGAAAGGGGGCUGGCCCGGUAGCUACCCUGUAGUUCCUCAAAGAUAGUGCGCGGAGUUGCGUGGUCCUCUGAGCUUAGUAACUAUACACCUAGCUUUUGAGUGUCCCGCGGCGCCUGCCGUUUAAACCCCAUCUUUUAAUGGUUGACCUCGGAUCAGGUAGGAAUACCCGCUGAACUUAAGCAUAUCAAUAAGCGGAGGA